This is a long non-coding RNA of Stegostoma tigrinum, 1819 nucleotides long. RefSeq lists it as uncharacterized. The record is from RefSeq and is a predicted model, not a curated record. NCBI's taxonomy places the organism in Eukaryota, Metazoa, Chordata, Chondrichthyes, Orectolobiformes, Stegostomatidae. The transcript is spliced from 3 exons.
CUUUUGUUUAGACAGUACUCGAUUACAUUGCAGCUCAAAGCGAAAGUGACACCUUGCGUGCGUGUGGAAGCAUUACCCACCUGAAUGAAGCUGUGUUGAGGCUGAUAACAUGGUGCAAAGAUGGGACUGAGAUGAUUUGAACACAAAGUCAAUAGGUCGUUAGAUUUCAGAAGCAAUCCACAAAACACUUGAAGAUCCGCUUUAAGCAGCUGUUCCUAGAACCAGAUGUGGUCUCUAGGAAUUAAAGAUUAAUCAUCGGAAUGUUGCUGGGAAUAAAACAGCUGGGGAGCCAUAUCAGGAUAAUAGAUAAUAUUAAAAACAGAGAAGCUUGCUCCUGGGAGUCUGGAGGCCUGUUUGCUCCUGUGUAACGAGGUUGGACGUUCUCUGCAGUGAAGAGAUGAGGCUUGCCAUUCCCAGCAAACACAGUAAUGUGGUUGACUCUGAACUGCCCUCUGGGCAAUUAGGGAUGGGUAAUAAAUGCUGCCUGGCCAGUGACGCCCUCAUCCUCUGAAUGAAUUUAAAAAAAGGAAAAUAAAAUCUGUGUAUUAAGACAAAGCAAAAUGCAAAACAUCUGUUGUUUUGUGAUAGGGAUCCACGGAUACAGAACAAUUUGCGUAAUAGUGGAACAGGUACAUAGCAGACACCAUUCCCCUAUCCCUGGACUCAUCCCUGGAACAUCUGGAUAAUAAAGAUACCUAUGUAGGGCUUCAAAUCUUGCCGACAGCUCUGCCUUAAUCCCGACCAAACUAAUCUCCAAACUCUAAGACCUUCUGCAACUGGAUCCUCAGCUUCCUGAUCCCACAGACCACAAUCGGUAAGGAUAAGUAACAGCGCUUCCUCUUGAUAAUCCACAACACCAGGUACCCUGCCAGCUCCCGACUGUGCCUCCGAUACACCCAUGACUGUGAGACCAAAUUUCAUCAGAACUCUAUCUACAAGUUCACUGAUGACAUCACCAUUGUAGGCAGGGGUUCAAACAGUGGUGAGACAGAACACAGGAAGCAGAUAGAGGGCUUGGUGCUAUCAUUACUUCUCUCUCAAUAUCAGCAAAACUAAAGAGCUGAUCAUUAACUUCAGGACAAAAAGAGGAGAACAUGCCCCCAUCUACAUCAAUGGAGCUGAGGUGUUAAGGAUUUGAGAGCUUCAUGUUCCUAGAAGUGACAAUAACCGACAACCUAUCCUGGAUCCCCACGUAGACGGUCAGGAAUAACUCCUCCUCUUCCUCAUGCAACGAAGGAAAUCUGACAUGUCCCUAUGGACCCUCACCAACCUUUACAGAUGCACUACAGACAGCACUGUCUGGGUCCAUACGGUCUGGUCUGCUCUGCCCAGCACUGUAAGAAACUACAGAAAGUUGUGAACACAACCCAGACCAUCAUGAAAACCAACCUUCCAUCCAUGGACUCUACUUACACUUCUCGCUGCCUCAGGAAGGCGGCCAACAUCAUCAAAGACCUCUCCCAGCCCAGUUAUACUCUCUUCCAACGUCUUCCAUCAGGCAGAAGAUAUAGAAGUUUCAACACAUGCACCAACAGGUUCAAGAACAGCUUCUUCCCUGUAGUUAUCAGACUGUUAAAGGGAUCUCCCUAACUUCAAGUAAUAUCGAUCUUACUAAUGCUGAUUGUGUUUUGUGCAUCUCCUGUGCAGUAUAACCUUAUACACCUCGCUCUGUCUAAGCUCCCCAUGAACACAGCAGGCCCAGCAGCAUCAGAGGAGCACAAAAGCUGACGUUUCAGGCCUACACCCUUCAUCAGAAAAGGGGGAGGGGGAGAGGGUUAUAAGAUAAAUAUGGAGAGAGGGGGAGGCAGACUGAAGAUGG